UGUAGGCUGCAACUCGCCUACAUGAAGUCGGAAUCGCUAGUAAUCGCGGAUCAGCAUGCCGCGGUGAAUACGUUCCCGGGCCUUGUACACACCGCCGUCACACCAUGAGAGUUUGUAACACCCAAAGCCGGUGGGGUAACCUUUUGGAGCCAGCCGUCUAAGGUGGGACAGAUGAUUGGGGUGAAGUCGUAACAAGGUAAC
This 201-nucleotide ribosomal RNA is filed under the name uncultured bacterium. RNAcentral describes it as "partial 16S ribosomal RNA". It matches the Rfam family "Bacterial small subunit ribosomal RNA", at positions 1299 to 1500 of the family's 1533-position model. The record is from RNAcentral.